UAUGAAGAGGCCUGAGCACUGUCUCUGCAGAAUGCAGGCGGAUGCUGUACAUGUCAUAAUACGUAUCAAACAAUUAUCCAUCACGGAAUAAAGCCAAAAGGAUGCUGCUCAUCGAGGGAGCAUUGUCCCUUGUGCAAUCGUCGAUAGCGUCUGCAAGAAGUGGAUACGCAGUGCUCCAGUCGUGGCUUUGCACCAGCCGGGCAUGCGCUAAUGGCUAGGCCAUAAAGCGAGGAGGCGGCUGGCUGACACCUAGACUUUGUGAUGGCUUGGGGCCAAUACUACGGAGUAGUUCCCCAUUCAAUUACCCAAACAACGCUGUGCAAUAACUAUUUUGAUUAACUCUCUUGACUGAUCAAAGAAAAUAAAGUCUGGAACUGAGAAUGGACGAGAGAAAACACAUUUAUUCUUCAGCGCCAAUCAAUCGAAGUAUUCAUUUACUUCGGUUGUCACUCAUCACAAUCCUCUGCCUAAUCUGAUUUAUACCUUACCUUGAAUAUUCGCUGCUUCAUAAUGACCAUAAAUUCUAAAUUCUCAAUUGAUUCAAACCUGACCUUCAUAUUUUCAUCGACACAUUCAGUCAUUCUUUUACGGUUUUAAAUAUGAUAUCAAGCAUCACCAUCUCUCCAACACUCCGGUAAUGGCAAUAUUUGUGGUUAUAAAGCAGCCACCAGGAGCAAAGCGUAACCAAAAUAGAACAGCUGGCUUAAAAGAGCGCUCGCCUGCAACUGUGGCCUACCAUUUGUAGGGCGAGUGGUUGCCCAUGACAGUUCCAGCUGUCAUCAUCCGGUCACACAGAGGCUGCGGGCGGGCUCAAGCAUAUACGUACAGUACAUAGUAGAUUUCCUUUUCGUGGCUGAAGUGCCUGGAUCCUCGGGGCUUAACAUGAUAGCAUUUGCAGGUUUGGGAGGCAGUUGUAAAUGACAAGCAGCACACCAUCUGUGACUGGGCCGUACAGCGUUUGACAGCGUUUGACAGAAUAGGCACUAAUAGUGUCCAUGAGCCCGUAACAAAUAUAUCCGAGUGUUCCAAUAGCCUCGAGCUUCUUAACAGCUGAUUGAGAUCUGUUCAAAAUUGAAGAUACAGAGAGGAUAUACUUAUCUCUCUUAAAAAGAUUUGAUCAAGUCGCUGAUCUUUAUAUUAAUAUUAAUCC
Molecule: small RNA, 1150 nt
Filed under: Histoplasma ohiense
Lineage: Eukaryota; Fungi; Ascomycota; Eurotiomycetes; Onygenales; Ajellomycetaceae
Description: hypothetical lncRNA
Source: RNAcentral